This 484-nucleotide ribosomal RNA is filed under the name uncultured bacterium. RNAcentral describes it as "partial 16S ribosomal RNA". It matches the Rfam family "Bacterial small subunit ribosomal RNA", at positions 30 to 507 of the family's 1533-position model. The record is from RNAcentral.
AUUGAACGCUGGCGGCAGGCCUAACACAUGCAAGUCGAGCGGAUGAAGGGAGCUUGCUCCUGGAUUCAGCGGCGGACGGGUGAGUAAUGCCUAGGAAUCUGCCUGGUAGUGGGGGAUAACGUCCGGAAACGGGCGCUAAUACCGCAUACGUCCUGAGGGAGAAAGUGGGGGAUCUUCGGACCCCACGCUAUCAGAUGAGCCUAGGUCGGAUUAGCUAGUUGGUGGGGUAAAGGCCUACCAAGGCGACGAUCCGUAACUGGUCUGAGAAGAUGAUCAGUCACACUGGAACUGAGACACGGUCCAGACUCCUACGGGAGGCAGCAGUGGGGAAUAUUGGAAAAUGGGCGAAAGCCUGAUCCAGCCAUGCCGCGUGUGUGAAGAAGGUCUUCGGAUUGUAAAGCACUUUAAGUUGGGAGGAAGGGCAGUAAGUUAAUACCUUGCUGUUUUGACGUUACUAACAGAAUAAGCACCGGCUAACUUCGUG